CACGUAGGGCGCAAGCGUUGUCCGGAAUUAUUGGGCGUAAAGAGCUCGUAGGCGGUCUGUUGCGUCCGCUGUGAAAACUCGGGGCUUAACCCCGAGCCUGCAGUGGAUACGGGCAGACUAGAGGUAGGUAGGGGGGAAUGGAAUUCCCGGUGUAGCGGUGAAAUGCGCAGAUAUCGGGAGGAACACCGGUGGCGAAGGCGAGUCCCUGGACAACACCUGACACUGAGGCACGAAAGCUAGGGGAGCAAACAGG
Molecule: ribosomal RNA, 253 nt
Filed under: uncultured bacterium
Lineage: Bacteria
Description: partial 16S ribosomal RNA
Rfam family: Bacterial small subunit ribosomal RNA
Source: RNAcentral